RNAcentral lists this ribosomal RNA (397 nucleotides) under uncultured bacterium. RNAcentral describes it as "partial 16S ribosomal RNA". It matches the Rfam family "Bacterial small subunit ribosomal RNA", at positions 523 to 918 of the family's 1533-position model. The record is from RNAcentral.
AUACGUAGGGGGCGAGCGUUGUCCGGAAUGAUUGGGCGUAAAGGGCGCGUAGGCGGCCCGGUAAGUCUGGAGUGAAAGUCCUGUUUUUAAGAUGGGAAUUGCUUUGGAUACUGUCGGGCUUGAGUGCAGGAGAGGUAAGUGGAAUUCCCAGUGUAGCGGUGAAAUGCGUAGAGAUUGGGAGGAACACCAGUGGCGAAGGCGACUUACUGGACUGUAACUGACGCUGAGGCGCGAAAGUGUGGGGAGCAAACAGGAUUAGAUACCCUGGUAGUCCACACUGUAAACGAUGAAUGCUAGGUAUAAGAGGUAUCGACCCCUUUUGUGCCGGAGUCAACACAAUAAGCAUUCCGCCUGGGGAGUACGGCCGCAAGGUUGAAACUCAAAUGAAUUGACGGGG